Long non-coding RNA from Cyprinus carpio (common carp), 202 nucleotides. RefSeq lists it as uncharacterized. Lineage: Eukaryota; Metazoa; Chordata; Actinopteri; Cypriniformes; Cyprinidae. The transcript is spliced from 3 exons. The record is from RefSeq and is a predicted model, not a curated record.
AAUCCCAGAGCAGAGCAUCAUGAACGCAAGCAAACGAGAGCCAGGGCAAGCACCUGUGACACGACAAAUGAGCAACAGACUGCCGCCGGAGCCUGAAGAGAGUUCAGAGGAGUUACCGGCGAGCUUCAUGAAAGCCAUGUUUGAUUUCACAGCGCGAAACCCUCGAGAGCUUUCCAUCAGUAAAGGUGAACAACUACAGGUG